GAGUUUGAUCAUGGCUCAGAUUGAACGCUGGCGGCAUGCCUUACACAUGCAAGUCGAACGGCAGCACGGAGCUUGCUCCUGGUGGCGAGUGGCGAACGGUGAGUAAUGCAUCGGAACGUAUCCUGGAGUGGGGAUAACGUAGCGAAAGUUACGCUAAUACCGCAUAUUCUGUGAGCAGGAAAGCGGGGGACCUUCGGGCCUCGCGCUCUUGGAGCGG
RNAcentral lists this ribosomal RNA (217 nucleotides) under bacterium enrichment culture clone ALO1_GLFRUDD03GS2ZY. RNAcentral's name for it is "partial 16S ribosomal RNA". It matches the Rfam family "Bacterial small subunit ribosomal RNA", at positions 9 to 229 of the family's 1533-position model. The record is from RNAcentral.